Molecule: transfer RNA, 73 nt
Filed under: Candidatus Heimdallarchaeota archaeon
Lineage: Archaea; Promethearchaeati; Candidatus Heimdallarchaeota
Also listed under: 4 other names
Description: tRNA-Val
Rfam family: tRNA
About the family: Transfer RNA (tRNA) molecules are approximately 80 nucleotides in length.
Source: RNAcentral
GGGCGAAUAGCUCAGUUGGGAGAGCGUUCGGGUCACAUCCGAAAGGUCGCAGGUUCGAGCCCUGCUUCGCCCA